GGAAAUUGAUAAUUUUAAGCUUCUAACUUAAAAAAUUGCAAAUAAUUUGUAACAUUUUCU
This 60-nucleotide transfer RNA is filed under the name Gibbosaverruca weijiai. RNAcentral's name for it is "tRNA-Ser". The record is from RNAcentral. Lineage: Eukaryota; Metazoa; Arthropoda; Thecostraca; Verrucomorpha; Verrucidae.